CUGGGGGCUGCCAGGCAGGAGGC
This 23-nucleotide microRNA is filed under the name Bos taurus (domestic cattle). RNAcentral describes it as "bta-miR-2454-5p". Lineage: Eukaryota; Metazoa; Chordata; Mammalia; Artiodactyla; Bovidae. The record is from miRBase by way of RNAcentral.